UUGUUAUAAGUCUGUGAAAAAGUUAUUUUGAGUCUGACAUCCACUAUCGCCAGGUCAAUGUAGGAAUUGGCACGAGGUAAAGUUGGCGCGUCUGUUAGCAGUAAAUUGCACCUGUAUUUUAUAUUAUUUUCUUGUAACCAUUUAUGUAAUUGCGUUCCCCUAGCAUUAUUUGUCAAAUUUAGCCAUGAAGUGUGUUUAGCGUUAAAAUCACCUGCUAAAAUGUAGUAAUUGUUCAGGCCGCUCAGAUUCAAUACUUCGAAUAUUUUUUCCAUUUCUGUUAAAAACAUAUGUGAGUUUCUAUUUGUUGCAUACAUAGAAACUAUAUAUAAUUGUUUUCCUUGUUUUAAUUGUAGUGCUAUAAUGAUCGGUUCAAUGCAUUGAAAGUCAUUAAAAAUGUCAUUAUUUACAAUGCUAAACUGGAAAUGUCUUUUAAUUCCUAUGGCAACACCUCCGCCUUCGAGACCAUUUUUACGAUCUCGCCUGAUUAUUUUGUAAUUAUUUACCACGAGGUGGUCAGUUGAUUUAAGUUUUGUCUCACACAUACAAACAAUGUCAGGCUUAUAGUUCUCCAGAAAAUGCAUAAAAGAGAAUUUUUUAUUAUACGAGAUUAAUGAGUUGACAUUAAUCGAAAUCAGAUUAUAUCGUAUGUCAUUGUCAAAUCUAAUCAUAUUGGUGGUUAGUUUCAAUACUCAUACAGUCAAAUAGUAUGUUUAUUCUAUCAGUGUUAGUAUUUAUAUUUUUUUCAAUGUUAAUAAAUUUUUUUUGCAUUUCUUGGAUGCAAUUCCUUAUUUCAAUCAAGAUAUUGUUAGUAUUGUUACUAAUACUAUUAUCGGUAUUAAUUUUAUUAAUAUUAUUAUUACUUACAAUACUAGCAUACGUAUUAGGUCGAGUAAUGCUAAAGGCAAUGUGUUUGUUUUGGAUUUUUUGUUUCGUCACUUCCGCUGCUUCCAGACGUUUAGAGAGUUUUGCCUUGAACUCUGGGCAGUUCCGAUAUGAGGCUGGGUGACCAUGAUUUUUACAAAGUGUGCAAAAUAGUUUUUCCUUUGGGUCCUCCGGCUUAAUAUUACAAUUUCCAGUUUGACGAAUGAUGGCCAAAUCGCUGGCAACGUGUGCACUGCAUAAUAUUGGGCUUAUUAAUACGUUCCCAGUGGAUUAUCAGAUGGUCAAUUGCUUUUAUUUUCAUAAUAUCGCUUAGUGAACUUCGUGGUGCGGCUUGAACAAUGAAAAAUGGUAAUAUUCUACCUUGUGAUGUUGAAUGCUUUGUGACUCUCUAGCACCUCAUCACAGGAAUAAGAGCUGUUCAGUCCUUUCAGAACCAGCGACAACCUUUUUUCUGCUUUUGGUGUGAAUGUAUAGUAAUUUAUACCAGAUUUUUCUAAAACACCACGAGCUUUUUUGAAGUCAUCUAUAUUAUAUGUCACUGCUAAGAAGUUGUUUCAAUAAUUUAACAUCUGUCUUACCGAAAUUGAUAGGAGGCAUUCUUUUGCUGCUGCUGGAGUUUCUGGUACCGCUGGGAGUUUUCUUCAUAAGUAUUUCAUCUUCAGCGUUAGUUUUUUUGUUGCAAGUUCCUGUAUUUUGAUUUCCAAUUCAAGAUCAUCAUUUUGAAGAUCAUUAUUCUCGGAACGAUUUGGCUGUGCACUAUCUACCUGUGGUUCAUCAGACUCUUCCGUUAUAUCCAUUAAGGC
This is a long non-coding RNA of Condylostylus longicornis, 1685 nucleotides long. RefSeq lists it as uncharacterized. The transcript is spliced from 5 exons. The record is from RefSeq and is a predicted model, not a curated record. Lineage: Eukaryota; Metazoa; Arthropoda; Insecta; Diptera; Dolichopodidae.